Non-coding RNA from Rattus norvegicus (Norway rat), 712 nucleotides. NCBI's taxonomy places the organism in Eukaryota, Metazoa, Chordata, Mammalia, Rodentia, Muridae. The record is from RefSeq and is a predicted model, not a curated record.
UCACAUUGUCCCUCCUCAGGGCACCCACGUAAAGGACACUGCUGAGUAACCACAUAGCACUUUGCCAAAUUCUAUUCAUAGCAUUGGUGGAAGAUGGGUGUGUUAUGUGUGUGGACAUUUUAAAAACACAUUUCACACAUAAGAUGUGGACUACCAACCAGGCAUGGUGGCUACACAUGUAAGCCUAAAACUCGGGAGGAUGAGGCAGGAGGACUCCUUUGAGUUCAAGACCAGCCGGAGUCCAAGCCAUCCUAGAAUACAAGGCUCAACAAACCUCAGACUUAUGAAGGAAAACCCUGCUCAGACAAAGAAACUCAUCCUGAAGGAUGCCAUCUGCAACUACUGCCCCUGCCUGUGGAUGACACCCCAGCGGAGACCUAAGUCACAUGGUCGGCUCCAGCUUUACUGCACCGGCCACAACCAUAAACCAAGCACGCUGGUGAGUGUCUACGGUGGGAGGCCGGGCAGUUACAGGAUGUGCCAGUAGCUACAGAGGGAAGGCAGAAGACAGGACAGAGCUUAUACCAAAUCUCCCCUUCAACAUCUACCUUCAGGGCUUCCAUGGCUCCCGCAGUCUUUUUUUUUUUUUUUUUUUGGUUCUUUUUUUUCGGAGCUGGGGACCGAACCCAGGGCCUUGCGCUUCCUAGGUAAGCAAGCGCUCUACCACUGAGCUAAAUCCCCAGCCCCGGCUCGGCUUGUGCAGUCUUAUAUU